This 496-nucleotide ribosomal RNA is filed under the name uncultured bacterium. Its description in RNAcentral is "partial 16S ribosomal RNA". It matches the Rfam family "Bacterial small subunit ribosomal RNA", at positions 29 to 507 of the family's 1533-position model. The record is from RNAcentral.
AUGAACGCUGGCGGCGUGCCUCAUCCCUGCAAGUCGAGCGAACAGACGAGGAGCUUGCUCCUCUGACGUUAGCGGCGGACGGGUGAGUAACACGUGGAUAACCUACCUAUAAGACUGGGAUAACUUCGGGAAACCGGAGCUAAUACCGGAUAAUAUAUUGAACCGCAUGGUUCAAUAGUGAAAGACGGUUUUGCGGUCACUUAUAGAUGGAUCCGCGCCGCAUUAGCUAGUUGGUAAGGUAACGGCUUACCAAGGCAACGAUGCGUAGCCGACCUGAGAGGGUGAUCGGCCACACUGGAACUGAGACACGGUCCAGACUCCUACGGGAGGCAGCAGUAGGGAAUCUUCCGCAAUGGUCGGAAGCCUGACGGAGCAACGCCGCGUGAGUGAUGAAGGUCUUCGGAUCGUAAAACUCUGUUAUUAGGGAAGAACAAAUGUGUAAGUAACUAUGCACGUCUUGACGGCACCUAAUCAGAAAGCCACGGCUAACUACGUG